GAGGCCUUAUCUUAAUAAAAGUAUUUGAGUUGCAUUCAGAAGAUGAAGGUUGAUGUCUUUCAGGUCUCA
RNAcentral lists this transfer RNA (69 nucleotides) under Anomaloglossus sp. 'Bakhuis'. Its description in RNAcentral is "tRNA-Ala". It matches the Rfam family "tRNA". From Rfam's summary of the family: Transfer RNA (tRNA) molecules are approximately 80 nucleotides in length. Lineage: Eukaryota; Metazoa; Chordata; Amphibia; Anura; Aromobatidae. The record is from RNAcentral.